This 423-nucleotide ribosomal RNA is filed under the name uncultured bacterium. RNAcentral's name for it is "bacterial SSU rRNA". It matches the Rfam family "Bacterial small subunit ribosomal RNA", at positions 207 to 622 of the family's 1533-position model. The record is from RNAcentral.
AAGACCUUGCGCUUUUGGAGCGGCCGAUGUCUGAUUAGCUAGUUGGUAGGGUAAUGGCCUACCAAGGCUUCGAUCAGUAGCUGGUCUGAGAGGACGGCCAGCCACACUGGGACUGAGACACGGCCCAGACUCCUACGGGAGGCAGCAGUGGGGAAUUUUGGACAAUGGGCGCAAGCCUGAUCCAGCCAUGCCGCGUGAGUGAAGAAGGCCUUCGGGUUGUAAAACUCUUUCAGCCGAGAAGAAAAGGUUGCGACUAAUAAUCGCAAUUCAUGACGGUACCGGCAGAAGAAGCACCGGCUAACUACGUGCCAGCAGCCGCGGUAAUACGUAGGGUGCGAGCGUUAAUCGGAAUUACUGGGCGUAAAGGGUGCGCAGGCGGUUUUGUAAGUCAGAUGUGAAAUCCCCGGGCUUAACCUGGGAACU